GUAGCUUAUUCGACUAUGAGAACAUCUGUUUAACAAAAUUCUAUAAAUAACAUGUUAUGACUACAGGGGAUAGACUUUGAGGAUUCUUCAAAGUGGUGUUUGGCGGAUUGCAAGAGAGGGGACAUCUUGUUACAAGUCUUGCUGUGUUGUAUGCCUAUAUUUUUGUUAGAGGGCUAGAGAGGAGAUUUAUAUUUUUGACGUGGAGGUCUUUUAUAAAUUCCUUGGUGUAAAAAGCUUGACCAUUACAGUGCAUUUGCUUCCUGGGUUGGAAGGACACUGGAUGUAGGCAUUGUUGGUCGAACAAGUAUAAAAACAAGUGUUAGAUUUCUUUAUCCCAG
RNAcentral lists this long non-coding RNA (338 nucleotides) under Vigna radiata. RNAcentral's name for it is "long non-coding RNA (VRAD_LNC014783)". Lineage: Eukaryota; Viridiplantae; Streptophyta; Magnoliopsida; Fabales; Fabaceae. The record is from RNAcentral.